RNAcentral lists this transfer RNA (75 nucleotides) under Ruminococcus sp. RNAcentral's name for it is "tRNA-Leu". It matches the Rfam family "tRNA". Rfam says of the family: Transfer RNA (tRNA) molecules are approximately 80 nucleotides in length. Lineage: Bacteria; Bacillati; Bacillota; Clostridia; Eubacteriales; Oscillospiraceae. The record is from RNAcentral.
GCUCGAGUGGCGAAAUUGGUAGACGCACAGGACUUAAAAUCCUNNUCUGGAGUUCGAAUCUCCAAUGGCUCACUA